Molecule: ribosomal RNA, 450 nt
Filed under: uncultured bacterium
Lineage: Bacteria
Description: bacterial SSU rRNA
Rfam family: Bacterial small subunit ribosomal RNA
Source: RNAcentral
UCGAACGGCAGCACGGGGGCAACCCUGGUGGCGAGUGGCGAACGGGUGAGUAAUACAUCGGAACGUGUCCUGUAGUGGGGGAUAGCCCGGCGAAAGCCGGAUUAAUACCGCAUACGCUCGAGAGAGGAAAGUGGGGGAUCUUCGGACCUCACGCUAAAGGGGCGGCCGAUGGCAGAUUAGCUAGUUGGUGGGGUAAAGGCCUACCAAGGCGACGAUCCGUAGCUGGUCUGAGAGGACGACCAGCCACACUGGGACUGAGACACGGCCCAGACUCCUACGGGAGGCAGCAGUGGGGAAUNUUGGACAAUGGGGGGCACCCUGAUCCCAGCAUGCCGCGUGUGUGAAGAAGGCCUUCGGGUNNGUAAGCACUUUUGUCAGGGAAGAAAGGGCAUCCCUAUAUGGAAGCUGAUGACCGUACUGAAGAAUAGCACGGCUACUACNUGCAGCAGC